GUAGGGGUAUCGAAAGCUUGAAAAGAAGAAGCGUUUCUUAGUCCUUUGUAUUUGAUAGUUUUUAUUCUAUAUAAUGAUGAUACAAAAGAUAAAUACUAAUAUAUAACAGGUACCUUAUUACUUAUGAAUAUAAUUUCAUUUUUCGAUUAACAUUGGCUUCUUCUUUGUCCUAGCAUUAGCAUCUUUCAAAAAAUUAAUUUUCUUGUGCCACUAUUUUGUUUUUCCAUCUUGUCAAAGUAUUAUUUAUUACCAAACUUUUGGCUUAUUGAUGCAUCAUUGACAAAGACUCUCGUUUGUCUUGUAAUG
This 306-nucleotide long non-coding RNA is filed under the name Brassica napus (rape). RNAcentral's name for it is "long non-coding RNA (BNAP_LNC026635)". Lineage: Eukaryota; Viridiplantae; Streptophyta; Magnoliopsida; Brassicales; Brassicaceae. The record is from RNAcentral.